RNAcentral lists this unclassified non-coding RNA (499 nucleotides) under uncultured Glomus. RNAcentral describes it as "SSU rRNA". It matches the Rfam family "Eukaryotic small subunit ribosomal RNA", at positions 591 to 1092 of the family's 1831-position model. The record is from RNAcentral. Lineage: Eukaryota; Fungi; Glomeromycota; Glomeromycetes; Glomerales; Glomeraceae.
CCAAUAGCGUAUAUUAAAGUUGUUGCAGUUAAAAGCUCGUAGUUGAAUUUCGGGGUUAGUAGGUUGGUCAUGCCUCUGGUAUGUACUGGUCUCACUGAUUCCUCCUUCCUGAUGAACCUUAAUGCCAUUAAUUUGGUGUUUUGGGGAAUUUGGACUGUUACUUUGAAAAAAUUAGAGUGUUUAAAGCAAGCUAACGCUUGAAUACAUUAGCAUGGAAUAAUGAAAUAGGACGUUCGAUCCUAUUUUGUUGGUUUCUAGGAUUGACGUAAUGAUUAAUAGGGAUAGUUGGGGGCAUUAGUAUUCAAUUGUCAGAGGUGAAAUUCUUGGAUUUAUUGAAGACUAACUACUGCGAAAGCAUUUGCCAAGGAUGUUUUCAUUAAUCAAGAACGAAAGUUAGGGGAUCGAAGACGAUCAGAUACCGUCGUAGUCUUAACCAUAAACUAUGCCGACUAGGGAUCGGAUGAUGUUAAUUUUUUAAUGACUCAUUCGGCGCCUUACG